RNAcentral lists this ribosomal RNA (438 nucleotides) under uncultured bacterium. RNAcentral describes it as "partial 16S ribosomal RNA". It matches the Rfam family "Bacterial small subunit ribosomal RNA", at positions 339 to 795 of the family's 1533-position model. The record is from RNAcentral.
CUACGGGUCGCACCAGUGAGGAAUAUUGCACAAUGGGGGGAACCCUGAUGCAGCAACGCCGCGUGGAGGAUGACGCAUUUCGGUGUGUAAACUCCUUUUAUAUGUCAAGAAAGUGACGGUAGCAUAUGAAUAAGCACCGGCUAACUCCGUGCCAGCAGCCGCGGUAAUACGGAGGGUGCAAGCGUUACUCGGAAUCACUGGGCGUAAAGGACGCGUAGGCGGGUUGGAAAGUCAGGUGUGAAAUCCUACAGCUUAACUGUAGAACUGCACUUGAAACUUCUAAUCUAGAGUAUGGGAGGGGGAGAUGGAAUUAGUGGUGUAGGGGUAAAAUCCGUAGAUAUCACUAGGAAUACCUAAAGCGAAGGCGAUCUCCUGGAACAUUACUGACGCUAAGGCGUGAAAGCGUGGGGAGCAAACAGGAUUAGAACCCUGGUAGUC